RNAcentral lists this ribosomal RNA (466 nucleotides) under uncultured bacterium. RNAcentral describes it as "bacterial SSU rRNA". It matches the Rfam family "Bacterial small subunit ribosomal RNA", at positions 355 to 825 of the family's 1533-position model. The record is from RNAcentral.
UCGGGAAUUUUGGGCAAUGGGCGAAAGCCUGACCCAGCAACGCCGCGUGAAGGAUGAAGUAUUUCGGUAUGUAAACUGCUUUUGAACAAGAGAAAACCCCGGUACGUGUACUGGGUUGAUAGUAUUGUUAGAAUAAGCAUCGGCUAACUUCGUGCCAGCAGCCGCGGUAAGACGAAGGAUGCAAGCGUUAUCCGGAUUCAUUGGGUUUAAAGGGUGCGUAGGCGGACUGAUAAGUCAGUGGUGAAAUCUCUCGGCUUAACCGAGAAACUGCCAUUGAUACUGUUAGUCUAGAGUACAGAUGAUGUGGGCGGAAUAUGACAUGUAGUGGUGAAAUACUUAGAUAUGUCAUAGAACACCGAUUGCGAAGGCAGCUCACAAAACUGUAACUGACGCUGAGGCACGAAAGUGCGGGGAUCAAACAGGAUUAGAUACCCUAGUAGUCCCUGAGCGGGCUGGCAAGGCGCAU